UAAGGAAUAUUGGUCAAUGGACGCAAGUCUGAACCAGCCAUGCCGCGUGAAGGAUGAAGGUCCUCUGGAUUGUAAACUUCUUUUAUCUGGGACGAAAACGGGAUUUUUAUCUCAAUUGACGGUACCAGAGGAAUAAGCACCGGCUAACUCCGUGCCAGCAGCCGCGGUAAUACGGAGGGUGCAAGCGUUAUCCGGAUUCACUGGGUUUAAAGGGUACGUAGGUGGGCAGAUAAGUCAGUGGUGAAAUCUUCCGGCUUAACCGGGAAACUGCCGUUGAUACUAUUUGUCUUGAAUAUUGCGGAGGUCAGCGGAAUAUGUCAUGUAGCGGUGAAAUGCUUAGAUAUGACAUAGAACACCAAUUGCGAAGGCAGCUUACUACACAAUCAUUGACACUGAGGCACGAAAGCGUGGGUAGCGAACA
This 421-nucleotide ribosomal RNA is filed under the name uncultured bacterium. RNAcentral describes it as "bacterial SSU rRNA". It matches the Rfam family "Bacterial small subunit ribosomal RNA", at positions 355 to 774 of the family's 1533-position model. The record is from RNAcentral.